RNAcentral lists this long non-coding RNA (752 nucleotides) under Helianthus annuus (common sunflower). RNAcentral's name for it is "sRNA HanXRQr2_Chr08g0343211". Lineage: Eukaryota; Viridiplantae; Streptophyta; Magnoliopsida; Asterales; Asteraceae. The record is from RNAcentral.
UAAAAGUAAUUUAGGCAGCUAUGUAUAGUCGUAAAAGUAUUUUAGACACUAACGUGUUUAUGCAUAGAUAAAAAAAAGUAUAAUAAUGGGUCGCACAUUACGGUGUAAAGUUGUAAAAGUAAUUUAAAUAUAAAGAGGUGUCAAGUUAUAAAGUAGAAAAGAUUGGCGGGUCACAGUUGUCAAUUUACCAAAAGAUAGAAGUAAAUGUGUAACUUACUUAAAAAUGAGGGUUAAUACUGUUUGAUGUCAAAAAGUUGAGGGCGUGAAUUGAAAAAAACAAAGGUCACCGUCCUUCGUUUAUAAGAGUUAUAUAAUGUGACUGGUUACUAAACAAGCAAUUCCUCACCAACGGAUGUAAAAGUGUAAAACACUUACUUGUUACCAUGCACAGACAAUCCAACCUGUCUCAGGAAAAAAAGACAUUAUGCCUGCGAAACUGCUCAUAUACUGUAGGUUCACUAAGUACAGUUGAAGAAGACAGAUCCAAGUACGAAACAACGCCAAUCAAGCACUUCCUGGAAUGAGAAAACCUGUCUCUGAAAACAACCUGACCAAGGGCACACUUGUUCCAUGCUUCAAAAGAGAUUAACACCUUUCCAAGCUGGCAACAUAAAAUUGAACGUAUAUUAGUAUCAUAGUAUAACAGCUCUAUGGACACACCAACACAGCAAAGAACAAAUCAUGAUGCACUGGCUUGUCUAGAUUUCACGUAUAUAUUUGGUAUUUAUAUUAUCUGUAUUGUUUCAAUAUGA